This 253-nucleotide ribosomal RNA is filed under the name uncultured bacterium. Its description in RNAcentral is "partial 16S ribosomal RNA". It matches the Rfam family "Bacterial small subunit ribosomal RNA", at positions 524 to 776 of the family's 1533-position model. The record is from RNAcentral.
UACGAGGGGGGCGAGCGUUGUUCGGAAUUAUUGGGCGUAAAGGGUGCGUAGGCGGUUUGGUAAGUCUUGUGUGAAAUCUACAGGCUCAACUUGUAGUCUGCACGAGAAACUGCCGGGCUUGAGUGUGGGAGAGGUGAGUGGAAUUCAUGGUGUAGCGGUGAAAUGCGUAGAUAUCAGGAGGAACACCUGUGGCGAAAGCGGCUCACUGGACCAUAACUGACGCUGAUGCACGAAAGCUAGGGGAGCAAACAGG